Molecule: long non-coding RNA, 3617 nt
Organism: Mus musculus (house mouse)
Lineage: Eukaryota; Metazoa; Chordata; Mammalia; Rodentia; Muridae
Product: predicted gene, 51934
Exons: 3
Source: RefSeq, a predicted model, not a curated record
AGUCCCUGCCAGCCCGGAGGAUGAAUGUUGCCUUUGUGCCCUCAGCUGCCUCCCAAGGCUUCCAAGCAACCACUUCUUCCCAAGGGGGCACCUCUGGGGCUGCUCAUGCUGAAGAUCGCGAUGACCAAACUUCCCGAGGUCCUCACCCUGAAGGAGAAGCGGUCCGCUGGGCACUAGCCAAGCGGGGGCGAUCAGUCGCCCGCCCGCGAGGACAGUCCCUUACAGCCGCUUUUCAGCCAGGAGCGAGGGCCACAGACAGACCAAGAGCAAGCUCACCUUGGCCAGUGCCUCCUCCUGUUUGGGGCUCAGGUCACCGACUCUGCCGCUCAUCGUGGCUCAGCCUUGGGGCGCGGUGCCUGCGGCAGCUGAUGGAGCUCCGACUCGUUUGCCGCCGCCGCAGCCGCUGGAGUAAAGUCCCAGUCUUUGGCCGAGGCCCCGGGGCUGGCGGCCAAGACCCGCCUCUUAAAGGAGCCCGAGGGGCGGGGCGAGACGCGCAGAGGCCCUGGAUUGGAGCCAGAAUGCUUGCUCAUACACCUGAGGAGCUACUUGGGUCUGGAUCCUCAUCCUAACCAAGAGGAAGCUGGAAAGCUCUAGCAAACGACGUCUUCUAAGGAGGACUCUUCCCUGUUGUGACUGUCACCUGGACUGACAGGAAGGACCUGACCGCCAGGGGCAGGAGCCGUUGUGGGCCAGAGCCAUAGCUGUGUGCUCAGUGUCUGGACCUCAGGUGGAUGGACAAAGGAAGGGCCAGUCUGUCCCUUCCUCCUCACACUGUGUGACAGUUGCCUGCUGCCACUCUUCAUCUGGCCUGUGUGACCCUGGAUGACUGACCCAGUGACCCUCUCUGGGCAUCCAGGUGGGUAGAGGGAGCUAUGAUGGCACCCCAGGGACCAUCAACAAUUCUCCUGUGUUGGUUUGGGUUUCAUGUCUGCAAGGUGGAGAGACUUCAGAAUUCUAUGCAUGCCAUCCCUAAUGUUUAAAAUUCCUACCAACUCUAGAACCAGAAUGUCUCUUGUUAUCAAAUGGAAUCUCAGGCCCCUAGGCCUGGGAUUUGAGUGACCUGGGCGUUUCUUCCCUUAAGGCUCUUUCUGUACAAAAUAACCCACCAAACCGGGAGUUCCAAGGUAGCAACCUUUCCCCUGGGGCUAGGAUGCCCCCUGGUGGUAGUGUGCAGCAUGGCUCUCCCGAUUGUUAGAGCGUAUAACCUGCAUGUAGUCUGCACUUCCGGCCAGCACCACAGUCCAUGGCAUGCCUCACCUACCCUGAUGUCAUUUGCUGGGCCUUACCUGCUGGAGGAACUCAUUUCACAGUUAAAUGAAGUUUCACUGUUAGGUGGAGUUUUGGAGAGGGGGGCUCACCUCACUGACUUUACUGUGUUCCUCAUUACUGAUACCAGUCCCCUCAUCUGCCACUGGGGGACAUAUCUAUCUCUUGCCUCAGUCUGGAUCCUCCUAGGGCUUUAAGACUUAAGAAAAGAUAGAAACUGGGGUCCCCUCCGUUUCCAGGCCAGGGUCAGGAAGCCUGGUAUAACCAGAAACAAGCGGGUUGGAAUCAGAGCAUGUGGGGUGAAAAGGCCCAAAUCUUUUCAUCCAAGAUCCAUACAAGCUGGCCAAAGGACAAGUGGCUUGCUUGGAAGCACGUGAUGGGGAAAUAGCUGUCCUGUCCCUUCUGGCUCCCCAUCCUGUCCCAGAAGUCAAGCAAGCUUGAGCUGCAGACCUGUCUCCUUCAAAGGCACUGAAGGUGUUGAGCAUCCCGUCUGUCCAUUGCUGGGAAUGGAUGGUCUGCCUUGCUCCCAGUCCUUGCCUUCAACAAGACCACACCUCUUAAUCCUUCCUAAACAAUUCCACCAAUUGGGAAACAAGCAUUUAAAUAUAUGAACCUAUGGGGCCAUUCUCAUCCAAAGCACCUUGACCCCAUAGGCUCGUGGCCAUAUCAUAAUGCAAAAUUACUCAGUCCAAGUCCAGAAGUUCCCAUAGCCUUUUGGUCUCGAUACUUUAAAGUCAAGAGUUCAAAGUCUCUUCUGAGACUGAAAGCAAUCUCUUAGUUUUACCCCCUAAUUUGUCCUUACAAAUUCACAUAUUUCUAACAUUCAAUGGCAGAAAAUAUCAAACCAUUCUGAACGGCAGGAAAGGGAGCACAGAGAGGAAAUAUUGUACCAAGGGAGACCAAAAUCUAGCAGGGAAAAUUUCAAAUUCUGUGGUUCUGCCCUUCUAGCUUUGCUGCCUGCAACAUCUCCCCACCCAACCUCCUGCCAACCCCAGGCUGGUUCCACUCCCUGUCUAUGGCUCUCCUUGCAGGUACCCACAGCUCAGUCACCUCCUACAUCAUGGGGUCUCCAGUGCAGCCCAGUUUUUACCUUCACAGCAUCAUGGAAUGGCCUCUCAGGGUCUUCAAGGCAGGGACUUCCCUGCCACACAUUGCCUGGCCUCAACAGCUCUCUUUAAGCAUGGAGGAAGAUUCCACAAGCUCUUCACUUUUAUUUCCUUCGUGACACUGAAACCAGACACACAUGGACAGCACUGCCUAGCUUGACUGUGCCCUUGGGAUGGAACCUGCCCCCCCCCCUUCAGUCACACUAGCAUCAGCUUUCAUUUGUGGCUUUUUUUAAGAGCAGAAAAUUCCUAGGCCUUCUCCUCUCACAGUUGUGAAGCUUAACUUGUGGGGUCUUGCCCGGGGACCCCCUCCCUUCAUUCCAUUUCAGACAGGUCUCUCCUUAAUCUCUUUUCCUCUUUCAGCACCAGCCUUGGCUCCAACAUUAAGUUACCCUGGUGCCCUUUCUCUCUUUAAGCUGUGCAUUUUGCCUUGUUUGCUCAUUUUCAUUGUAGAGUGAUCACUACUAACUCACAUGACAGAGUCAAUGUUAGUCUGUCUUGAAAUCUCCUCUGCCAACAAAUUUAGUCCAUUGUUUUUCAAUUUAGCCUCAGGCAAAUUCUUGGAACAAGAGCAGAAAAAUAGCUACAGGCUGCCAAAAUAUCACAAGAAUGGUCUCUAGCCCAGGUGCUAAUAUUGUCCCCUCUGACAUGGGCCACCAUAGUCUCCACUGCUCUCAGUACUACUGCCUCCCAAGCUCCUACUAGGAUUCCCCAUUAAUCCCCAUUUACAGUGUUCAACCAUUUUCCUAGUCCAACGUUUCAAAGACUUCUAUAUUCUUCCCCAGAAUAGCACAGGCAGGCCCUUCAUAGCAAGAGGCUGCUCCCUGCUACCAGCUUCUGUCUUAGUUACUCUUGAUUGCUGUAAUAAGGCACUACCAUGACCAAAGUAACCCAUAAAAGAGUUUGUUUAAGUGAGAUAAGGAUCCAGAGUGUUCCAGUCCAUGAUGCUGGAGCAAAGCAUGACCAUCGUUGGCUAGAGCAGCAGCACAGGUCUCGUCUCGAUGGCAAGUUGGAGGCAGAGAUUUCAGUGGGGCUUGCAUGAGGCUUUGAAAACCUCAAAUCCUGCCCCCAGUGACUCACGUCUUCCACCUCCUAAUCCUUCUCCAACAGUUCCAGCAAGUGGGAACCAAGUGUUCAGACAUGUGAGCCUCUGGGCGCCAUUCUCAUUCCAGCCCUCAGGAUGCCUCCGUUGCUUCUUCACCUUUGUUUUUGAGGCAAGGUCUCUCAUUGAACUGUGAAUUCUGU